RNAcentral lists this ribosomal RNA (253 nucleotides) under uncultured bacterium. Its description in RNAcentral is "partial 16S ribosomal RNA". It matches the Rfam family "Bacterial small subunit ribosomal RNA", at positions 524 to 776 of the family's 1533-position model. The record is from RNAcentral.
UACGGAGGGAGCUAGCGUUGUUCGGAUAUACUGGGCGUAAAGCGCACGUAGGCGGCGCAGUAAGUCAGGGGUGAAAUCCCGGGGCUCAACCCCGGAACUGCCCUUGAAACUGCAGUGCUAGAAUCUUGGAGAGGCGAGUGGAAUUCCGAGUGUAGAGGUGAAAUUCGUAGAUAUUCGGAAGAACACCAGUGGCGAAGGCGACUCGCUGGACAAGUAUUGACGCUGAGGUGCGAAAGCGUGGGGAGCAAACAGG